RNAcentral lists this ribosomal RNA (2776 nucleotides) under Salmonella enterica subsp. enterica serovar Meleagridis. RNAcentral's name for it is "bacterial LSU rRNA". It matches the Rfam family "Bacterial large subunit ribosomal RNA". Lineage: Bacteria; Pseudomonadati; Pseudomonadota; Gammaproteobacteria; Enterobacterales; Enterobacteriaceae. The record is from RNAcentral.
AGCGUACACGGUGGAUGCCCUGGCAGUCAGAGGCGAUGAAGGACGUGCUAAUCUGCGAUAAGCGCCGGUAAGGUGAUAUGAACCGUUAUAACCGGCGAUUUCCGAAUGGGGAAACCCAGUGUGUUUCGACACACUAUCAUUACGUGAAUACAUAGCGUAAUGAAGCGAACCGGGGGAACUGAAACAUCUAAGUACCCCGAGGAAAAGAAAUCAACCGAGAUUCCCCCAGUAGCGGCGAGCGAACGGGGAGGAGCCCAGAGCCUGAAUCAGCAUGUGUGUUAGUGGAAGCGUCUGGAAAGGCGCGCGAUACAGGGUGACAGCCCCGUACACAAAAGCGCAUGUGCUGUGAGCUCGAUGAGUAGGGCGGGACACGUGGUAUCCUGUCUGAAUAUGGGGGGACCAUCCUCCAAGGCUAAAUACUCCUGACUGACCGAUAGUGAACCAGUACCGUGAGGGAAAGGCGAAAAGAACCCCGGCGAGGGGAGUGAAAAAGAACCUGAAACCGUGUACGUACAAGCAGUGGGAGCACAGGUUUACCUGUGUGACUGCGUACCUUUUGUAUAAUGGGUCAGCGACUUAUAUUCUGUAGCAAGGUUAACCGAAUAGGGGAGCCGUAGGGAAACCGAGUCUUAACCGGGCGUUAAGUUGCAGGGUAUAGACCCGAAACCCGGUGAUCUAGCCAUGGGCAGGUUGAAGGUUGGGUAACACUAACUGGAGGACCGAACCGACUAAUGUUGAAAAAUUAGCGGAUGACCUGUGGCUGGGGGUGAAAGGCCAAUCAAACCGGGAGAUAGCUGGUUCUCCCCGAAAGCUAUUUAGGUAGCGCCUCGUGAAUUCAUCUCCGGGGGUAGAGCACUGUUUCGGCUAGGGGGCCAUCCCGGCUUACCAACCCGAUGCAAACUGCGAAUACCGGAGAAUGUUAUCACGGGAGACACACGGCGGGUGCUAACGUCCGUCGUGAAGAGGGAAACAACCCAGACCGCCAGCUAAGGUCCCAAAGUCAUGGUUAAGUGGGAAACGAUGUGGGAAGGCCCAGACAGCCAGGAUGUUGGCUUAGAAGCAGCCAUCAUUUAAAGAAAGCGUAAUAGCUCACUGGUCGAGUCGGCCUGCGCGGAAGAUGUAACGGGGCUAAACCAUGCACCGAAGCUGCGGCAGCGACACUGUGUGUUGUUGGGUAGGGGAGCGUUCUGUAAGCCUGUGAAGGUGGCCUGUGAGGGUUGCUGGAGGUAUCAGAAGUGCGAAUGCUGACAUAAGUAACGAUAAAGCGGGUGAAAAGCCCGCUCGCCGGAAGACCAAGGGUUCCUGUCCAACGUUAAUCGGGGCAGGGUGAGUCGACCCCUAAGGCGAGGCCGAAAGGCGUAGUCGAUGGGAAACGGGUUAAUAUUCCCGUACUUGGUGUUACUGCGAAGGGGGGACGGAGAAGGCUAUGUUGGCCGGGCGACGGUUGUCCCGGUUUAAGCGUGUAGGUGUGUGUUCCAGGUAAAUCCGGUUCACUUUAACACUGAGGCGUGACGACGAGGCACUACGGUGCUGAAGCAACAAAUGCCCUGCUUCCAGGAAAAGCCUCUAAGCAUCAGGUAACAUCAAAUCGUACCCCAAACCGACACAGGUGGUCAGGUAGAGAAUACCAAGGCGCUUGAGAGAACUCGGGUGAAGGAACUAGGCAAAAUGGUGCCGUAACUUCGGGAGAAGGCACGCUGACACGUAGGUGAAGUGAUUUACUCAUGGAGCUGAAGUCAGUCGAAGAUACCAGCUGGCUGCAACUGUUUAUUAAAAACACAGCACUGUGCAAACACGAAAGUGGACGUAUACGGUGUGACGCCUGCCCGGUGCCGGAAGGUUAAUUGAUGGGGUCAGCGCAAGCGAAGCUCCUGAUCGAAGCCCCGGUAAACGGCGGCCGUAACUAUAACGGUCCUAAGGUAGCGAAAUUCCUUGUCGGGUAAGUUCCGACCUGCACGAAUGGCGUAAUGAUGGCCAGGCUGUCUCCACCCGAGACUCAGUGAAAUUGAACUCGCUGUGAAGAUGCAGUGUACCCGCGGCAAGACGGAAAGACCCCGUGAACCUUUACUAUAGCUUGACACUGAACAUUGAGCCUUGAUGUGUAGGAUAGGUGGGAGGCUUUGAAGUGUGGACGCCAGUCUGCAUGGAGCCGACCUUGAAAUACCACCCUUUAAUGUUUGAUGUUCUAACGUGGACCCGUAAUCCGGGUUGCGGACAGUGUCUGGUGGGUAGUUUGACUGGGGCGGUCUCCUCCUAAAGAGUAACGGAGGAGCACGAAGGUUGGCUAAUCCUGGUCGGACAUCAGGAGGUUAGUGCAAUGGCAUAAGCCAGCUUGACUGCGAGCGUGACGGCGCGAGCAGGUGCGAAAGCAGGUCAUAGUGAUCCGGUGGUUCUGAAUGGAAGGGCCAUCGCUCAACGGAUAAAAGGUACUCCGGGGAUAACAGGCUGAUACCGCCCAAGAGUUCAUAUCGACGGCGGUGUUUGGCACCUCGAUGUCGGCUCAUCACAUCCUGGGGCUGAAGUAGGUCCCAAGGGUAUGGCUGUUCGCCAUUUAAAGUGGUACGCGAGCUGGGUUUAGAACGUCGUGAGACAGUUCGGUCCCUAUCUGCCGUGGGCGCUGGAGAACUGAGGGGGGCUGCUCCUAGUACGAGAGGACCGGAGUGGACGCAUCACUGGUGUUCGGGUUGUCAUGCCAAUGGCACUGCCCGGUAGCUAAAUGCGGAAGAGAUAAGUGCUGAAAGCAUCUAAGCACGAAACUUGCCCCGAGAUGAGUUCU